This 468-nucleotide ribosomal RNA is filed under the name uncultured bacterium. RNAcentral describes it as "partial 16S ribosomal RNA". It matches the Rfam family "Bacterial small subunit ribosomal RNA", at positions 28 to 507 of the family's 1533-position model. The record is from RNAcentral.
GACGAACGCUGGCGGCGUGCUUAACACAUGCAAGUCGAACGGAAAGGCCCUGCUUUUGUGGGGUGCUCGAGUGGCGAACGGGUGAGUAACACGUGAGUAACCUGCCCUUGACUUUGGGAUAACUUCAGGAAACUGGGGCUAAUACCGGAUAGGAGCUCCUGCUGCAUGGUGGGGGUUGGAAAGUUUCGGCGGUUGGGGAUGGACUCGCGGCUUAUCAGCUUGUUGGUGGGGUAGUGGCUUACCAAGGCUUUGACGGGUAGCCGGCCUGAGAGGGUGACCGGCCACAUUGGGACUGAGAUACCGCCCAGACUCCUACGGGAGGCAGCAGGGGGGGAUAUUGCACCAUGGGCGGAAGCCUGAUGCAGGAACGCCGCGUGCGGGAUGACGGCCUUCGGGUUGUAAACCGCUUUCGCCUGUGACGAAGCGUGAGUGACGGUAAUGGGUAAAGAAGCACCGGCUAACUACGUG